AGUGAACGCUGGCGGUAGGCCUAACACAUGCAAGUCGAACGGCAGCACAGUAAGAGCUUGCUCUUACGGGUGGCGAGUGGCGGACGGGUGAGGAAUACAUCGGAAUCUACUUUUUCGUGGGGGAUAACGUAGGGAAACUUACGCUAAUACCGCAUGCGACCUACGGGUGAAUGCAGGGGAUCUUCGGACCUUGCGCGAUUGAAUGAGCCGAUGUCGGAUUAGCUAGUUGGCGGGGUAAAGGCCCACCAAGGCGACGAUCCGUAGCUGGUCUGAGAGGAUGAUCAGCCACACUGGAACUGAGACACGGUCCAGACUCCUACGGGAGGCAGCAGUGGGGAAUAUUGGACAAUGGGCGCAAGCCUGAUCCAGCCAUACCGCGUGGGUGAAGAAGGCCUUCGGGUUGUAAAGCCCUUUUGUUGGGAAAGAAAAGCAGCAGGUUAAUACCCCGCUGUUCUGACGGUACCCAAAGAAUAAGCACCGGCUAACUUCGUG
RNAcentral lists this ribosomal RNA (492 nucleotides) under uncultured bacterium. RNAcentral describes it as "partial 16S ribosomal RNA". It matches the Rfam family "Bacterial small subunit ribosomal RNA", at positions 29 to 507 of the family's 1533-position model. The record is from RNAcentral.